CCAAUAGCGUAUAUUAAAGUUGUUGCAGUUAAAAAGCUCGUAGUUGAACCUUAGGCCCGUGCGGGUGGUCCGUCCUCAGGGCGAGCACUGCUCCGUCGCGGGUCUCACCUUCUGGCGAGCGUGGAUGCCAUUUAUUUGGUGUCCGCGGGAACCAGGACCUUUACCUUGAAAAAAUUAGAGUGCUCAAAGCGGGCUCCGACGCUUGAAUACAUUAGCAUGGAAUAAUGAAAUAGGACGAUGGUUCUAUUUUGUUGGUUUCCGGGACCGUCGUAAUGAUUAAUAGGGAUAGUUGGGGGCAUUCGUAUUCAAUUGUCAGGGGUGAAAUUCUUGGAUUUAUUGAAGACGAACUACUGCGAAAGCAUUUGCCAAGGAUGUUUUCAUUAAUCAAGAACGAAAGUUGGGGGAUCGAAGACGAUCAGAUACCGUCGUAGUCUCAACCAUAAACUAUGCCGACUGGGAAUCGGGCGAUGUUACUUUUCUGACUCGCUCGGCGCCCCGAG
This 500-nucleotide ribosomal RNA is filed under the name uncultured Glomeromycotina. Its description in RNAcentral is "partial small subunit ribosomal RNA". It matches the Rfam family "Eukaryotic small subunit ribosomal RNA", at positions 591 to 1092 of the family's 1831-position model. Lineage: Eukaryota; Fungi; Glomeromycota. The record is from RNAcentral.